CAGACCGGGCGUCGGGUGAGCCCAGAAGUGAGAGCAGUUGGCUGUGCCCCAGUGCUGUGUGACCCAGAGGCGCCGCUCACCCUCUCUGAGCUGGUGGACAUCAUAGGGGUGCAGCCCAGAACUGUCUUCUGAGGAAGAGGUGCUCUCCUGGGCCCCCACUGUCCCCAGGCCUCAGAAGGCAAGUGAGGUGCUGCCGUCAUCCAGGCUGGACAGUUCAGUGAUUUGCCUGAGGCCCCACAGCAGAGAACGAGAAGGCUGCCUGAUCAGAGAGUCCCUGAAGAAGAUUCUGUGGCUACAGGCUUCAGCAGAGUGUGAGGGAGACCCCGGUUAUUUCCUCAGCUAUUUCCACCAAAUCCUCCUGUCUUUCGUGGCCAACACCCCAGGCAAGGCUUGGGGCCCCCGUCUGCUGCUGGACGGUAAGUCCUGGCCC
RNAcentral lists this long non-coding RNA (430 nucleotides) under Homo sapiens (human). Its description in RNAcentral is "non-protein coding lnc-SNRPD3-1:2". Lineage: Eukaryota; Metazoa; Chordata; Mammalia; Primates; Hominidae. The record is from RNAcentral.